GAAAUGCGAUAAGUAGUGUGAAUUGCAGAAUUCAGUGAAUCAUCGAAUCUUUGAACGCACAUUGCGCCCCUUGGUAUUCCAUGGGGCAUGCCUGUUCGAGCGUCAUUUGUACCCUCAAGCUCUGCUUGGUGUUGGGUGUUUGUCCCGUCUCCGCGCGUGGACUCGCCCCAAAGUGAUUGGCAGCCGGCGUACUGGUCCCGGAGCGCAGCACAUGUCGCGCAAACGAGUGCCUUGGUAAGGCGGCGUCCAUAAGCCCCUCUCUCACGCUCUUGACCUCGGAUCAGGUAGGGAUACCCGCUGAACUUGAGC
Molecule: unclassified non-coding RNA, 309 nt
Filed under: plant metagenome
Description: partial contains 5.8S ribosomal RNA, internal transcribed spacer 2, and large subunit ribosomal RNA
Rfam family: 5.8S ribosomal RNA (bases 1-105)
Source: RNAcentral